This 36-nucleotide small RNA is filed under the name Staphylococcus aureus. RNAcentral's name for it is "3'UTR". Lineage: Bacteria; Bacillati; Bacillota; Bacilli; Caryophanales; Staphylococcaceae. The record is from RNAcentral.
GUAUUUUUAAAAAUAUCAUAGAAAAUUUCAAAUGAA